Molecule: ribosomal RNA, 370 nt
Filed under: uncultured organism
Description: bacterial SSU rRNA
Rfam family: Bacterial small subunit ribosomal RNA
Source: RNAcentral
CGAGAGGCCCAAACGUUAUUCGGAUUUACUGGGCUUAAAGAGUUCGUAGGCGGCGCGGAAAGUAGGGUGUGAAAGCCCUCGGCUCAACCGAGGAAUUGCGCCCUAAACUACCGUGCUCGAGGAAGCUAGAGGUGAGCGGAACUGAUGGUGGAGCGGUGAAAUGCGUUGAUAUCAUCAGGAACACCGGAGGCGAAGGCGGCUCACUGGGGCUUUUCUGACGCUGAGGAACGAAAGCCAGGGGAGCGAACGGGAUUAGAUACCCCGGUAGUCCUGGCCGUAAACGAUGAGCACUGGACCGGAGGACUGCACAGUCUUUCGGUCGUAGCGAAAGUGUUAAGUGCUCCGCCUGGGGAGUAUGGUCGCAAGGCUG